AUGCUCUGGGCGUCAUACUCGAUACACAUCAGGGUUGAAUUGCCUGAUUACUUUGUCCUCACAGUGGGAUCAGCCCAGCCAAGACGCAUCCAGUGGCAGGCAGUUUCAGAAAAAGGGUUUCCCACCAUGUCGGCCCGUGAUUGUCCACCGGUCCAUCAUCGUGGCAGCCUGCACUGGGCAGUGGGCCUCAACAUCACGGUAUUUGAUCCCGUAGCCGAGACAUUCCGGCACAUGAGCCGCCCAGAGCAGUUGGGUGAUAUGGUGUCAUUGUUGGAUACUGUCGGCGGCGCACUCGCGUUGUGUCGCACGGAUUGUACCUACGUCACUUUGGAUGUUUGGGUGUUGCAGGACUAUGAUGCCGAAACCUGGGGCUUUCAGUACCAUAUUAGCUUGUCAGCGAUGGUGGCAUCGCCACCGCUUGAUUUGAGGGUCAAAUAUGUCCCUAGGAUGGCUGUGAUCAAUGAGCAUGAGCUGGUUAUCGAUUAUCCUACCAGUCUGCUGCAUUGUAACAUUGAUGUUGUGUUUAUAGGAAAUCUAGAAAGCGAAGAGCAUGGAAACUACUUGAUGCUCACUCGGCAUCGUCUCCAAGAGAGCAUGGUUUCACUUCCAUUGUUUGAGAACCAAGAAGAAGAUGGUGUGAACAAGGAGCCUCCGUUCCUCAUAGUGCUAUAA
RNAcentral lists this ribosomal RNA (672 nucleotides) under Triticum aestivum (bread wheat). RNAcentral describes it as "partial small subunit ribosomal RNA". Lineage: Eukaryota; Viridiplantae; Streptophyta; Magnoliopsida; Poales; Poaceae. The record is from RNAcentral.